GCAGCCUGGAUAGCUCAGUUGGUUAGAGCAUGGUGCUGAUAAUGCCAAGGUUGCAGGUUCAAUCCCUGUAUAUUCCUGCA
Zootoca vivipara (common lizard) is the source of this 80-nucleotide non-coding RNA. NCBI's taxonomy places the organism in Eukaryota, Metazoa, Chordata, Lepidosauria, Squamata, Lacertidae. The record is from the annotation of a RefSeq genome assembly.